This 253-nucleotide ribosomal RNA is filed under the name uncultured bacterium. Its description in RNAcentral is "partial 16S ribosomal RNA". It matches the Rfam family "Bacterial small subunit ribosomal RNA", at positions 524 to 776 of the family's 1533-position model. The record is from RNAcentral.
UACGUAGGGUGCAAGCGUUGUCCGGAAUUAUUGGGCGUAAAGAGCUCGUAGGCGGUUUGUCGCGUCUGCUGUGAAAACCCGAGGCUCAACCUCGGGCCUGCAGUGGGUACGGGCAGACUAGAGUGCGGUAGGGGAGAUUGGAAUUCCUGGUGUAGCGGUGAAAUGCGCAGAUAUCGGGAGGAACACCGGUGGCGAAGGCGGUUCUCUGGGCCUGACCUGACGCUGAGGAGCGAAAGCGUGGGGAGCGAACAGG